CCCCAACCCGCCCCCGGGCCGGCGAUCGUCCGUUUCGUCCGCUCGACGCCAUUCCUCUAUCCAAUUUCCUUUUCCUUCUCUAAUUCGAAGGUAACGAGGAUGUCGAUGGAGGAAGCGAAGGUGGUGAUCCCCGAGUCGGUGCUGAAGAAUCGGAAGAGAAAAGCGCAUAGGGCGCUGGCGAAGAAGCAGGAGCGCGAGAACCGGGAGCUAAUCUUCACCCGCGCCAGCAGUACGCCAAGUAGCACGAGGCACAGGAGAAGGAGCUGAUCCGAUCGUAGAGGGAGGGGAGGAUGAAGGGUGGAUUCUACGUCAGCCCGGAGGCCAAGCUUCUAUUCAUCAUCCGCUUCCGAGGCUCCUUCGACUCAGACAGGUAAAGAGUCAAGUCGCCAUCUUUCAGUUUGGUGUAGUUUCACUACUACCCACGCUUGUUAGUGCUAUGUUGCAGACAAUCAACAGUGUAUUUCUGAAAGUUAACAAGGCCACGAUGAACAUGUUGCAGACGGUGGAGCCUUAUGUGACAUGUGGGUACUAAAUGCUAUGCUCUCCGGGAUUCAUUUGUAGCAUUAUUAUGCUCAGUUUAGUUAGACACAAGGUUUGUCGUGUUCGGUAUGGGCGAUAUAUACUUGUCUAAUAGGAGGACCGAUAUAGAUGGUACAUACUGAUUUGUCAAUACAUUCUACCAUACCAUGUGUUAGUACAUCAGUAUAAUUUGGUACAUGUCAAUAAGUUGGUUGGUACAUUGGUACGGACCGGUAAGACAAAUCAUGAUUAGACAUAUUCUAAUAAAUAAUGUGUCUCAGGUAUCCUAAUCUUAAGAUUGUUAGGGAAUUGAUUUACAAGAGGGGAUAUGGAAAGUUGAACAAGCAAAGAAUUCCUUUGGCAGACAAUUCAAUCAUUGAGCAUGUCUGUUAUAAGUGGCAUGUCUUGUGCCUGUUUGAUAUGUUCCUGAUUACAAUUUAUUCUUUCUAGUUUACAUGUUGAAU
Long non-coding RNA from Musa acuminata AAA Group (dessert banana), 983 nucleotides. RefSeq lists it as uncharacterized. The transcript is spliced from 4 exons. The record is from RefSeq and is a predicted model, not a curated record. NCBI's taxonomy places the organism in Eukaryota, Viridiplantae, Streptophyta, Magnoliopsida, Zingiberales, Musaceae.